Molecule: ribosomal RNA, 569 nt
Filed under: Sarocladium oryzae
Lineage: Eukaryota; Fungi; Ascomycota; Sordariomycetes; Hypocreales; Sarocladiaceae
Description: partial 28S ribosomal RNA
Rfam family: Eukaryotic large subunit ribosomal RNA
Source: RNAcentral
AGGCCUCAGUACGGCGAGUGAAGCGGCAACAGCUCAAAUUUGAAAUCUGGCCGCAAGGUCCGAGUUGUAAUUUGCAGAGGAUGCUUUUGGCGAGGUGCCUUCCGAGUUCCCUGGAACGGGACGCCAUAGAGGGUGAGAGCCCCGUACGGUUGGACCACCGAGCCUCUGUAAAGCUCCUUCGACGAGUCGAGUAGUUUGGGAAUGCUGCUCUAAAUGGGAGGUGUACGUCUUCUAAAGCUAAAUACCGGCCAGAGACCGAUAGCGCACAAGUAGAGUGAUCGAAAGAUGAAAAGCACUUUGAAAAGAGGGUUAAAAAGUACGUGAAAUUGUUGAAAGGGAAGCGUUUAUGACCAGACUUGGGCUUGGUUGAACAUCCGGCGUUCUCGCCGGUGCACUCUGCCAGUCCAGGCCAGCAUCAGUUUGUCCCGGGGGAUAAAGGCGGUGGGAAUGUGGCUCCCCCGGGAGUGUUAUAGCCCGCCGUGCAAUGCCCUGGGACGGACUGAGGAACGCGCUUCGGCACGGAUGCUGGCGUAAUGGUCAUCAACGACCCGUCUUGAACCAACGGACCA